Molecule: ribosomal RNA, 490 nt
Filed under: uncultured bacterium
Lineage: Bacteria
Description: partial 16S ribosomal RNA
Rfam family: Bacterial small subunit ribosomal RNA
Source: RNAcentral
AUUGAACGCUGGCGGCAGGCCUAACACAUGCGAGUCGAACGGUAACAGGAAGCAGCUUGCUGCUUCGCUGACGAGUGGCGGACGGGUGAGCAAUGUCUGGGAAGCUGCCUGAUGGAGGGGGAUAACUACUGGAAACGGUAGCUAAUACCGCAUAAUGUCGCAAGACCAAAGAGGGGGACCUUCGGGCCUCUUGCCAUCGGAUGUGCCCAGAUGGGAUUAGCUUGUUGGUGGGGUAACGGCUCACCAAGGCGACGAUCCCUAGCUGGUCUGAGAGGAUGACCAGCCACACUGGAACUGAGACACGGUCCAGACUCCUACGGGAGGCAGCAGUGGGGAAUAUUGCACAAUGGGCGCAAGCCUGAUGCAGCCAUGCCGCGUGUAUGAAGAAGGCCUUCGGGUUGUAAAGUACUUUCAGCGGGGAGGAAGGGAGUAAAGUUAAUACCUUUGCUCAUUGACGUUACCCGCAGAAGAAGCACCGGCUAACUCCGUG